AAGGAUUGCCAUUUUGUGGUCACGAUAAAUUGAACGAGUCUCUUAAUAGAGGAAAUCUAAUCGAGUUACUAAACUAGUAUACAACUCAUACAUUUACAUAUAUUUGAAUAAUUUUUAAUAUUAUUUAAUCAAAUUUUAAUGACAACAAUAUUAUUACAAUUGUUGAUUGUCGACGGUUAAUGGUCAAGCUCCACCCUAACUGAACUUAGAUGUUGGAUUCAUCCCUGAUCAAUGGUACGCCAAACUUUCAAAAAUUUUCAUUGAACAAGGAUAUGUUCAAUCGAAGGUAAAUUAUAGCCUAUUUACUAAAGGUGAUGGUGCCUCUUUUACUGCUGUCUUAGUGUAUGUUGAUGACAUAGUUGUGGCUGGAAAUUGCAUCGACGUGAUUAACCACCUUAAAACUUCACUUCAUGACAAGUUUAGGAUUAAGGAUCUUGGUAGGUUGAAUAACUCCUUGGCAUAGAGGUGGCCAGGUCUGCAAAAGGUAUCAGUAUAUGUCAAAGGAAGUAUGCUUUGGAUAUCUUGGAUGACUCGGGGACAAUUGGUUCAGCUCCUGCCAGAAUACCAUUACAUCAAAAUGUAAAAUUAGCCAAAGAUAAAGGGGAAUUGCUCCCUGAACCAGCAAUUUACAGAAGAUUGGUUGGCAGAUUGUUGUACCUAACAAUAACUAGGCCUGAUAUUUCUUACUCAGUGCAAUUGUUAAGUCAAUUUAUGGAAAGCCCCCGAAUCCCACAUUUGAAUGCAGCACAAAGUCCUAAGAUAUAUCAAACGGGCUCCAGGGUAGGGGAUAUUCUAUCCAGCAGAUUCAGCAUUAUAAUUACACGGAUAUAGUGAUUCAGAUUGGGGAGCUUGUACUAUUACUCGACAAUCAAUAACAGGUUACUGCGUGUUAAUUGGAAAAUCAAUGGUGUCUUGGAAAUUAAAGAAGUAACAAGUGGUCUCAAGAUCAUCUUCGAAACCUAAAUAUAGAGCUAUGGCUGAUUUGUGUUGCGAACUAACAUGGUUCAGAUACUUAUUUUGAAGACUUGAAGAUAGCUCAUCCUCAAGCUGCAUAUUUGUACUGUGACAAUAAAUCAGCCGUUCAUAUAGCCACCAACCCAAUUUUUCAUGAGAGGACCAAACACAUAGAGCUCGAUUGUCAUUUGAUUCGCGACAAAAUUCAAGAUGGAUACAUUGUUACUAAGCAUGUUCCUAGCAAGUCACAGAUUGUAGACAUUUUUUUACCAAAGCCUUAGGCUCGCAAGGUUUUUACUCAUGCAUGCUCAAGAUGGGACUAAUAGACAUAUACUCUCCAUCUUGCAGUGGGCUAUUGGAAGUUGACAAAGCAGCUGAAUUGGAAAGACAUGAAGGAGCUGGUUAAAGAAUCAGCAAUACAAGCAACAAUUGAAAGAUGCUCACACAAUUGACAGCCAACUUGGAAUAACAGAAUGAGAAUUCUCUAGAAGAAGGAAAAGGAAUUUUGUAAAUUAGUUACCUUUCUGUUGUGAGAACGUGUAUGUAAAUUAUUUCUUUUAGAAUAGCCUAUUGUGUGUAUAUAUACUUUGCUUUUCUGUACAGUCUCAACAAGCAGAAAAAUCAAUACAAUUCUUUGCUUUAUUUCUGCCUCCAUCA
RNAcentral lists this long non-coding RNA (1611 nucleotides) under Olea europaea subsp. europaea. Lineage: Eukaryota; Viridiplantae; Streptophyta; Magnoliopsida; Lamiales; Oleaceae. The record is from RNAcentral.